Long non-coding RNA from Rhinichthys klamathensis goyatoka, 1324 nucleotides. RefSeq lists it as uncharacterized. The record is from RefSeq and is a predicted model, not a curated record. Lineage: Eukaryota; Metazoa; Chordata; Actinopteri; Cypriniformes; Leuciscidae. The transcript has 2 exons.
UACGCCCCAGUCCCAGAGUACGCCCCAGUCCCAGAAUGAACCCCAGUCCCAGAGGACGCCCCAGUCCCAGAGUGAACCCCAGUCUCAGACUGCAUCGAGCAUGUUGGGGCACUUAAAAGAGGAAACAUCCCGGCAAAAGAGGAGCCGGUGAGAAUUGAGUGUUCUCCAGCUGGAGCUAACUAACUAGCGGUAAAUCUCUUUCUUAGAGAAUGCAAUACUACUAAUAAUAGUAAUAAUAUUAUCAACAAUAAUAUAAUUACAGUAAUGUGAUGAUUUAUUUUGCAUAGAAUAAAGCUUGAUCGAGCUUAGGAGUCAGGGCUGUUUUUAUUAUUGGAACACUAUUAGGUAUUAUAGUCUUAUUGACACGGUGUGGGUUUGUCUUGUCAUGUUUAGUGGUUCCCUGUCUGUCUAUAAGUCAUCCCAGGUGUUUCCCGUUAACCACGCCCCCUUUUUAUUUUAUCAAGCUCGUUUACCCCUGUAUUUAAGCCCUGUGUUUCAGCCCUGUCUUUGUGAGUUCUAGCCCUGUCUUUGUGAGUUAUUGUCACUGUUACGUUGAUGUAGGUUGUUCUGUUCCCGAGUCUUAUUUCCUUGCCUGAGUCUUUGUAUGGUUUCUGUUCCCGAGUCUUUGUAUAGUUUCUGUUCCCGAGUCUUUGUAUAGUUUCUGUUCCCGAGUCUUGUUCCCUUGCCUGAGUCUUUGCAUGGUUUCUGUUCCUGAGUCUUUGUAUAGUUUCUGUUCCCGAGUCUUGUUCCCUUGCCUGAGUCUUUGUAUAGUUUGAGUGUAUUUAAAUAAACGUGCUGCAUUUGGAUCCUGCUUCAACCUCACCUUGUAACACUUAUCACUUGCCUGUAUUUUUUUCCAUAAUCAUGGACUUACAAAAGGAGAUGUUAAGAAGAAUAUCACGGCAGUUACUUUUUCAUACUGUAAAUUAAAAGGUGAAAGAGAACGUCAGCUCUCAUUUGUCAGCUCAAUUGUCAUGUAAAAAAAAAUAUUGUAAUUUUAUAAUUUUAUAAUUUAAUAAUGGUUUGCAGAUUAAUAUUUUAUCAUUGUUUGUGUCCUGAAGUAAAUGUCCCUUUUUCUGUUUCAGUUCUAGUGGGCCUAUUAAACAAUGCUUAGAGAGCAUUUGUGUGUGAUUUGAGUUGGACCGAAAUCUGACAACUUAAAGAGAAUGACCUGUUUAGUUGGCUCAAAGUUCAUUAAAACAACUAUUUCAAAAGCUGAACUGAUUUUCUUUUUUUAUAUUAUAGUAAGAAUAUGUAUAACUCAAUGUUUUAACUAAUUGAAAAAGCUGAAUAAUCGUUCCAAACUUACUGAUUAGUCGGUAAA